AAAUUUUUUGUUUUUAAGUCAAAAUGCCCUUUGAUUGAAAGGAAAUGUUCAGGAUAAGAGCGGUCCCUCCUGUUGGCCAUCUUGUUGUCCCCACUGCCCCAGCUCUUGGCAUGGGCACUCUCCCUCUGGGUGGUACCUGAACACCGCCUUGUUGGCGUGCCUGGCUGUCUCUCCUAGGUUGGGAGGGAGCUUUAGCCUUCUCCAUUUUCCCUGAGGACAUGUUUACUUAUUGC
RNAcentral lists this long non-coding RNA (233 nucleotides) under Homo sapiens (human). RNAcentral describes it as "HSALNT0196211". Lineage: Eukaryota; Metazoa; Chordata; Mammalia; Primates; Hominidae. The record is from RNAcentral.